AGGAGCAACCAUAUCAGCACUGAUGCACAGGAUUCCAUCCGAACUCCGAAGUUAAGCGUGCUUGAGCAAGAAUAGUUCUAAGAUGGACCUGUCUUAUGACUU
Molecule: ribosomal RNA, 102 nt
Organism: Cephalotus follicularis
Lineage: Eukaryota; Viridiplantae; Streptophyta; Magnoliopsida; Oxalidales; Cephalotaceae
Source: Rfam